This is a long non-coding RNA of Lathyrus oleraceus (garden pea), 1127 nucleotides long. RefSeq lists it as uncharacterized. The transcript is spliced from 3 exons. The record is from RefSeq and is a predicted model, not a curated record. Lineage: Eukaryota; Viridiplantae; Streptophyta; Magnoliopsida; Fabales; Fabaceae.
ACGGUAUAUCCAAUUUUUCAGCUUCUUCGGAAAGCUUAUGAGCCAAUUUGAUCCGAGACCUCUUUUAAGCGAGUGGACCUACUUCUCAAAAUCUGCGUAUGGUCGACAAUAGCAUCCGAUAGAGUUGAUGAUUUCUGCUCUCUAAGAUCCAGCAACUUCUUUGUAGCAUAUCUAACAGUACUAUGAGGUUUACUUAAUCCUCCAAGAAGAGACCCACAAAACGAUGGCUUGAUUGAAGAAUUCAGAUUAGACAAACACCCCUCCAAAUCCCAGCCACCCCAGACUUUACUGUCAAAUUCUAAACCAGAGGAUGACGUGGGAUUAACCGUAGGUAUUUGGAAGGAGUUAAAGACGGUUUGGUGGUUUGAAAGUGGACGGUUAUUGCAGAGGAAAAACGAGAAUGAUGCAUGCCUAUCCAAUUUACUCUGCAAAUCUGGAGAGUGCUGAGAACCCAAUCCCUUGGACAAGUUUGCAGAUAUAUCAACUAGCAUGUGCAAACCAAUCGAUUUUUGAGGAAGGAAGUGUUCUAAACAUCUCAUCUGUUGUAGACUUUGGGGGAAAAUCAUACAACCUGCAGCAAGUUUGCUUCGACCCGCUGAGAUGUCGAGAGUCAUGAUUUUGCCAGGUUAUUUUCUACGGCAUAUGAUUGCAAUAUGAUAAUAAGCCUCCUCCUAGUACACCUUAAACCCUGCUCAUUCUCUUUCAGCAAAAACCGGUAAACGUCAUGCUUGCUGUAAUUGCAUUAGCACAUCAAUGUACUAAUCUGGUUAUCGUCAUUGCAGGUAGGACCUUGAUCAUCAUCGCAUCCCAUUGCAUAUACCUGCAAUCAGACUUACAACUUCUAUGCCCCAAAGAUAGACUCCCUGCUGUGAUGUGUGCAUUCUGCUGUCUGCCGAAAUCAAUUAAUGUUCAAAUUUAUUAAUUUUUUUCAGCAAUCCAUUGGCCCAGUCUUGGAGACUCAUUUUUUGACAAGCAUCAAGGGCUCGUUCCAACAUGCGAAGAGCCGUAAGGAAAUUGAAUGAGGCAAAGAGAACUUUGAAUCUAGUGCACACUACAAUGCUGAUUUUGGAAAAGAAUAAAAUCUAAUGUGAAAUUCUCAGAGCCAUGGAUAUGAAACGCAAGCUGCU